CCUACGGGUGGCAGCACUGAGGAAUAUUGGUCAAUGGGCGUGAGCCUGAACCAGCCAAGUAGCGUGAAGGAUGACUGCCCUAUGGGUUGUAAACUUCUUUUAUAAAGGAAUAAAGUGAGUCACGUGUGCUUUUUUGUAUGUACUUUAUGAAUAAGGAUCGGCUAAUUCCGUGCCAGCAGCCGCGGUAAUACGGAGGAUCCGAGCGUUAUCCGGAUUUAUUGGGUUUAAAGGGAGCGUAGAUGGGAUGUUAAGUGAGUUGUGAAAGUUUGCGGCUCAACCGUAAAAUUGCAAUGGAUACUGGCAGUCUUGAGUGCAGUUGAGGUAGGCGGAAUUCGUGGUGUAGCGGUGAAAUGCUUAGAUAUCACGAAGAACUCCGAUUGCGAAGGCAGCAUACUAAACUGCCACUGACGUUGAUGCUCGAAGGUGUGGGUAUCGAACAGGAUUAGAUACCCCUGUAGUC
This 460-nucleotide ribosomal RNA is filed under the name uncultured bacterium. RNAcentral describes it as "partial 16S ribosomal RNA". It matches the Rfam family "Bacterial small subunit ribosomal RNA", at positions 338 to 795 of the family's 1533-position model. The record is from RNAcentral.